This 328-nucleotide small RNA is filed under the name Ostreid herpesvirus 1. RNAcentral describes it as "23.9snc". Lineage: Duplodnaviria; Heunggongvirae; Peploviricota; Herviviricetes; Herpesvirales; Malacoherpesviridae. The record is from RNAcentral.
AAUAAAAUACUCACUGGUGACGGGUUUUAUAAUCAUAUAAACAUAAAAAUGGAACAAGGGAAAGGUGCAAUAAACACAAUGGAUGAUAUACUCAAUGUAUUCAAUGAAUUCAUAGCAGAAUUCGAGUCGUAUAAUGACAUGGUUAAAGUGAAGUCGGUUCCACCACCAACGCCACCAAAACCAGUCAAGAAAACACCUCCUCCAACACUACCAAAGCCAUCUAAACAGAAGCAGGAGCCCCAGGUAGAAGUGAAUGAGGACCGGGAAAGCGUCUCAAAUUUGCUGAAGAAAUUCAAAGAUUCUCCAUUGAUAUUGUGUGGUCAUUCAU